UACGUAGGCAGCAAGCGUUGUUCGGAAUUACUGGGCGUAAAGAGUGUGUAGGCGGUGCUCUAAGUUUCGGUGUGAAAUCUCCCGCUCAACUGGGAGGGUGCGCCGGAAACUGGGGGUGCUGGAGCGCGGGGAGAGGAAAAGCGGAAUUCCUGGUGUAGCGGUGAAAAUGCGUAGAUAUCAGGGAGGAACACCCGGCGGUGUAGACGGCUUUUCUGGGACCCU
Molecule: ribosomal RNA, 222 nt
Filed under: uncultured bacterium
Lineage: Bacteria
Description: partial 16S ribosomal RNA
Rfam family: Bacterial small subunit ribosomal RNA
Source: RNAcentral